Molecule: ribosomal RNA, 1504 nt
Filed under: Helicobacter pylori
Lineage: Bacteria; Pseudomonadati; Campylobacterota; Epsilonproteobacteria; Campylobacterales; Helicobacteraceae
Description: bacterial SSU rRNA
Rfam family: Bacterial small subunit ribosomal RNA
Source: RNAcentral
UUUAUGGAGAGUUUGAUCCUGGCUCAGAGUGAACGCUGGCGGCGUGCCUAAUACAUGCAAGUCGAACGAUGAAGCUUCUAGCUUGCUAGAGUGCUGAUUAGUGGCGCACGGGUGAGUAACGCAUAGGUCAUGUGCCUCUUAGUUUGGGAUAGCCAUUGGAAACGAUGAUUAAUACCAGAUACUCCCUACGGGGGAAAGAUUUAUCGCUAAGAGAUCAGCCUAUGUCCUAUCAGCUUGUUGGUAAGGUAAUGGCUUACCAAGGCUAUGACGGGUAUCCGGCCUGAGAGGGUGAACGGACACACUGGAACUGAGACACGGUCCAGACUCCUACGGGAGGCAGCAGUAGGGAAUAUUGCUCAAUGGGGGAAACCCUGAAGCAGCAACGCCGCGUGGAGGAUGAAGGUUUUAGGAUUGUAAACUCCUUUUGUUAGAGAAGAUAAUGACGGUAUCUAACGAAUAAGCACCGGCUAACUCCGUGCCAGCAGCCGCGGUAAUACGGAGGGUGCAAGCGUUACUCGGAAUCACUGGGCGUAAAGAGCGCGUAGGCGGGAUAGUCAGUCAGGUGUGAAAUCCUAUGGCUUAACCAUAGAACUGCAUUUGAAACUACUAUUCUAGAGUGUGGGAGAGGUAGGUGGAAUUCUUGGUGUAGGGGUAAAAUCCGUAGAGAUCAAGAGGAAUACUCAUUGCGAAGGCGACCUGCUGGAACAUUACUGACGCUGAUUGCACGAAAGCGUGGGGAGCAAACAGGAUUAGAUACCCUGGUAGUCCACGCCCUAAACGAUGGAUGCUAGUUGUUGGAGGGCUUAGUCUCUCCAGUAAUGCAGCUAACGCAUUAAGCAUCCCGCCUGGGGAGUACGGUCGCAAGAUUAAAACUCAAAGGAAUAGACGGGGACCCGCACAAGCGGUGGAGCAUGUGGUUUAAUUCGAAGAUACACGAAGAACCUUACCUAGGCUUGACAUUGAGAGAAUCCGCUAGAAAUAGUGGAGUGUCUAGCUUGCUAGACCUUGAAAACAGGUGCUGCACGGCUGUCGUCAGCUCGUGUCGUGAGAUGUUGGGUUAAGUCCCGCAACGAGCGCAACCCCCUUUCUUAGUUGCUAACAGGUUAUGCUGAGAACUCUAAGGAUACUGCCUCCGUAAGGAGGAGGAAGGUGGGGACGACGUCAAGUCAUCAUGGCCCUUACGCCUAGGGCUACACACGUGCUACAAUGGGGUGCACAAAGAGAAGCAAUACUGCGAAGUGGAGCCAAUCUUCAAAACACCUCUCAGUUCGGAUUGUAGGCUGCAACUCGCCUGCAUGAAGCUGGAAUCGCUAGUAAUCGCAAAUCAGCCAUGUUGCGGUGAAUACGUUCCCGGGUCUUGUACUCACCGCCCGUCACACCAUGGGAGUUGUGUUUGCCUUAAGUCAGGAUGCUAAAUUAGCUACUGCCCACGGCACACACAGCGACUGGGGUGAAGUCGUAACAAGGUAACCGUAGGUGAACCUGCGGUUGGAUCACCUCCUUU